Molecule: ribosomal RNA, 333 nt
Filed under: uncultured Veillonellaceae bacterium
Lineage: Bacteria; Bacillati; Bacillota; Negativicutes; Veillonellales; Veillonellaceae
Description: bacterial SSU rRNA
Rfam family: Bacterial small subunit ribosomal RNA
Source: RNAcentral
GAUGAACGCUAGCGACAGGCUUAACACAUGCAAGUCGAGGGGCAGUCGGGGCGUGGCAACACGCCGCCGGCGACCGGCGCACUGGUGAGUAACACGUAUGCAACCUGCCCAUCGGACGGGGACAACAUCCCGAAAGGGGUGCUAAUACCGGAUACGAAGGAGCUAUCGCAUGGUGGCUCCUUGAAAGAUGGCCUCUAUUUAUAAGCUAUCGCUGAAGGAUGGGCCUGCGUCCGAUUAGCUGGUUGGUGGGGUAACGGCCUACCAAGGCGACGAUCGGUAGCCAGUCUGAGAGGAUGAACGGCCACAUUGGGACUGAGACACGGCCCAGACUCC